RNAcentral lists this ribosomal RNA (382 nucleotides) under Morganella morganii IS15. RNAcentral's name for it is "LSU rRNA". It matches the Rfam family "Bacterial large subunit ribosomal RNA", at positions 1 to 422 of the family's 2925-position model. The record is from RNAcentral. Lineage: Bacteria; Pseudomonadati; Pseudomonadota; Gammaproteobacteria; Enterobacterales; Morganellaceae.
GGUUAAGCGAAUAAGCGUACACGGUGGAUGCCUAGGCAGUCAGAGGCGAUGAAGGACGUGCUAAUCUGCGAUAAGCGCCGGUAAGGUGAUAUGAACCGUUAUAACCGGCGAUUUCCGAAUGGGGAAACCCAGUGUGAUCCGUCACACUAUCAUUACCUGAAUACAUAGGGUAAUGAAGCGAACCGGGAGAACUGAAACAUCUAAGUACCCCGAGGAAAAGAAAUCAAACGAGAUUCCCCCAGUAGCGGCGAGCGAACGGGGAGCAGCCCAGGACCUUAAUCAGCAUCAGUGUUAAGAGAACAGUCUGGAAAGGCUGGCCACAGCAGGUGAUAGCCCUGUAUCUGAAAGCACUGGUGUUGUGAGUCCGAUGAGUAAGGCGGGA